UACGUAGGAUGCAAGCGUUGUCCGGAAUUAUUGGGCGUAAAGGGCGCGCAGGCGGUUUGUCAAGUCAGAUGUGAAAGCCCCCGGCUUAACCGGGGAGGGUCAUUUGAAACUGACAGACUUGAGUGCAGCAGAGGAAGGUAGAAUUCUGGGUGUAGUGGUGAAAUGCGUAGAUAUCCAGAGGAAUACCAGUGGCGAAGGCGGCCUUCUGGGCUGUAACUGACGCUGAGGCGCGAAAGCAUGGGGAGCGAACAGG
This 253-nucleotide ribosomal RNA is filed under the name uncultured bacterium. RNAcentral describes it as "partial 16S ribosomal RNA". It matches the Rfam family "Bacterial small subunit ribosomal RNA", at positions 524 to 776 of the family's 1533-position model. The record is from RNAcentral.